AGAGAUGGUAAUUUUUUUCUUGAUGCUAGAACAAGAGAGACCAAUAAAAGCUGCCAUCGAUUGGUCACUUCUCUGCUCGCUAUCUUUGGGCGCUGCUUGCCUGUCAAAAAUUUUACAUGUGAAAGCAACAACAAAGAUAUCUAGUUGAAUUCGUGUUGGAGAUUUGCGAAUAGCUCAAUAGUCGCUUGCUGAGUGCUACCAAGUUUUGUUUUACUCAUUUUAGAACCAUUUUACUAUUGUGAACGGCUCAAAGAACAAAUUUCUGUCGAAAUAAUAAAAAUUGUUAUACACAAAUUUGAAAUUGAAAAGGGCAGGCGAAGAUAAAUCAAAACGUUAGGCAUAGACGGUGGUUGAAGAGUUUAGUGCGACCAAGUAUAUACAAUUCGAUUUCAGUGCUGCCAGUUUGAAUGGAAAUUUGGAAAGUUUGUUCGUUUGGCUUGUCUAUAGCAGUUAGCCAAUCGAUGACAGCUAAAAUAAUACAGGGUAUCCCUGCCAACAUUUUCUAUCGCAAAAGUCACUUAUAAGUGACUUCAAGAAGUUACAAUUCAACGUCUGCGAUACAUUUUUUUUAUCGUAGAAGUCACUUCCUUAUUGAGAAGUUGUUUCCCGCGGACGUUACUUUCAGAAGUUACGUAGUAGUGCCUUGUGGAAGUUACGUAUUAGUGACUUGUAGAAGUUACGUAUUAGUGAU
Molecule: long non-coding RNA, 691 nt
Organism: Zeugodacus cucurbitae (melon fly)
Lineage: Eukaryota; Metazoa; Arthropoda; Insecta; Diptera; Tephritidae
Exons: 3
Source: RefSeq, a predicted model, not a curated record